Molecule: ribosomal RNA, 2902 nt
Filed under: Shigella flexneri
Lineage: Bacteria; Pseudomonadati; Pseudomonadota; Gammaproteobacteria; Enterobacterales; Enterobacteriaceae
Description: bacterial LSU rRNA
Rfam family: Bacterial large subunit ribosomal RNA
Source: RNAcentral
UUAAGCGACUAAGCGUACACGGUGGAUGCCCUGGCAGUCAGAGGCGAUGAAGGACGUGCUAAUCUGCGAUAAGCGUCGGUAAGGUGAUAUGAACCGUUAUAACCGGCGAUUUCCGAAUGGGGAAACCCAGUGUGAUUCGUCACACUAUCAUUAACUGAAUCCAUAGGUUAAUGAGGCGAACCGGGGGAACUGAAACAUCUAAGUACCCCGAGGAAAAGAAAUCAACCGAGAUUCCCCCAGUAGCGGCGAGCGAACGGGGAGCAGCCCAGAGCCUGAAUCAGUGUGUGUGUUAGUGGAAGCGUCUGGAAAGGCGUGCGAUACAGGGUGACAGCCCCGUACACAAAAAUGCACAUACUGUGAGCUCGAUGAGUAGGGCGGGACACGUGGUAUCCUGUCUGAAUAUGGGGGGACCAUCCUCCAAGGCUAAAUACUCCUGACUGACCGAUAGUGAACCAGUACCGUGAGGGAAAGGCGAAAAGAACCCCGGCGAGGGGAGUGAAAAAGAACCUGAAACCGUGUACGUACAAGCAGUGGGAGCACGCUUAGGCGUGUGACUGCGUACCUUUUGUAUAAUGGGUCAGCGACUUAUAUUCUGUAGCAAGGUUAACCGAAUAGGGGAGCCGAAGGGAAACCGAGUCUUAACUGGGCGUUAAGUUGCAGGGUAUAGACCCGAAACCCGGUGAUCUAGCCAUGGGCAGGUUGAAGGUUGGGUAACACUAACUGGAGGACCGAACCGACUAAUGUUGAAAAAUUAGCGGAUGACUUGUGGCUGGGGGUGAAAGGCCAAUCAAACCGGGAGAUAGCUGGUUCUCCCCGAAAGCUAUUUAGGUAGCGCCUCGUGAAUUCAUCUCCGGGGGUAGAGCACUGUUUCGGCAAGGGGGUCAUCCCGACUUACCAACCCGAUGCAAACUGCGAAUACCGGAGAAUGUUAUCACGGGAGACACACGGCGGGUGCUAACGUCCGUCGUGAAGAGGGAAACAACCCAGACCGCCAGCUAAGGUCCCAAAGUCAUGGUUAAGUGGGAAACGAUGUGGGAAGGCCCAGACAGCCAGGAUGUUGGCUUAGAAGCAGCCAUCAUUUAAAGAAAGCGUAAUAGCUCACUGGUCGAGUCGGCCUGCGCGGAAGAUGUAACGGGGCUAAACCAUGCACCGAAGCUGCGGCAGCGACGCUUAUGCGUUGUUGGGUAGGGGAGCGUUCUGUAAGCCUGUGAAGGUGUACUGUGAGGUAUGCUGGAGGUAUCAGAAGUGCGAAUGCUGACAUAAGUAACGAUAAAGCGGGUGAAAAGCCCGCUCGCCGGAAGACCAAGGGUUCCUGUCCAACGUUAAUCGGGGCAGGGUGAGUCGACCCCUAAGGCGAGGCCGAAAGGCGUAGUCGAUGGGAAACAGGUUAAUAUUCCUGUACUUGGUGUUACUGCGAAGGGGGGACGGAGAAGGCUAUGUUGGCCGGGCGACGGUUGUCCCGGUUUAAGCGUGUAGGCUGGUUUUCCAGGCAAAUCCGGAAAAUCAAGGCCGAGGCGUGAUGACGAGGCACUACGGUGCUGAAGCAACAAAUGCCCUGCUUCCAGGAAAAGCCUCUAAGCAUCAGGUAACAUCAAAUCGUACCCCAAACCGACACAGGUGGUCAGGUAGAGAAUACCAAGGCGCUUGAGAGAACUCGGGUGAAGGAACUAGGCAAAAUGGUGCCGUAACUUCGGGAGAAGGCACGCUGAUACGUAGGUGAAGCGACUUGCUCGUGGAGCUGAAAUCAGUCGAAGAUACCAGCUGGCUGCAACUGUUUAUUAAAAACACAGCACUGUGCAAACACGAAAGUGGACGUAUACGGUGUGACGCCUGCCCGGUGCCGGAAGGUUAAUUGAUGGGGUUAGCGCAAGCGAAGCUCUUGAUCGAAGCCCCGGUAAACGGCGGCCGUAACUAUAACGGUCCUAAGGUAGCGAAAUUCCUUGUCGGGUAAGUUCCGACCUGCACGAAUGGCGUAAUGAUGGCCAGGCUGUCUCCACCCGAGACUCAGUGAAAUUGAACUCGCUGUGAAGAUGCAGUGUACCCGCGGCAAGACGGAAAGACCCCGUGAACCCUUACUAUAGCUUGACACUGAACAUUGAGCCUUGAUGUGUAGGAUAGGUGGGAGGCUUUGAAGUGUGGACGCCAGUCUGCAUGGAGCCGACCUUGAAAUACCACCCUUUAAUGUUUGAUGUUCUAACGUGGACCCGUGAUCCGGGUUGCGGACAGUGUCUGGUGGGUAGUUUGACUGGGGCGGUCUCCUCCUAAAGAGUAACGGAGGAGCACGAAGGUUGGCUAAUCCUGGUCGGACAUCAGGAGGUUAGUGCAAUGGCAUAAGCCAGCUUGACUGCGAGCGUGACGGCGCGAGCAGGUGCGAAAGCAGGUCAUAGUGAUCCGGUGGUUCUGAAUGGAAGGGCCAUCGCUCAACGGAUAAAAGGUACUCCGGGGAUAACAGGCUGAUACCGCCCAAGAGUUCAUAUCGACGGCGGUGUUUGGCACCUCGAUGUCGGCUCAUCACAUCCUGGGGCUGAAGUAGGUCCCAAGGGUAUGGCUGUUCGCCAUUUAAAGUGGUACGCGAGCUGGGUUUAGAACGUCGUGAGACAGUUCGGUCCCUAUCUGCCGUGGGCGCUGGAGAACUGAGGGGGGCUGCUCCUAGUACGAGAGGACCGGAGUGGACGCAUCACUGGUGUUCGGGUUGUCAUGCCAAUGGCACUGCCCGGUAGCUAAAUGCGGAAGAGAUAAGUGCUGAAAGCAUCUAAGCACGAAACUUGCCCCGAGAUGAGUUCUCCCUGACCCUUUAAGGGUCCUGAAGGAACGUUGAAGACGACGACGUUGAUAGGCCGGGUGUGUAAGCGCAGCGAUGCGUUGAGCUAACCGGUACUAAUGAACCGUGAGGCUUAACCUU